AAUUCCAGCUCCCCACAAUGGUCACAAGAACUGUCUGCUGGCCUCAAGGACCCCCACAGCAAAGACUUCAUCCAAAUAUUGAAGAUUUUAAGAACAAGAACUCAGCUUCUCUAAAGAAAAAUGAAUUUUGCUUCAUACAUCCAGUGUACAAAGUCUAUUGGUGAAGACCUUGAGGACUAUGUUGGCAAAGCAGCACACUAUCCACUAUUCCACAGGCUCGUGUCUUUCUUAUUUUUCAAUGGUGAUGACAUUCUUACCUUAGGAGGCUGAUACACCUGCCUUACACCUACACCUGGCACAGCACCUAGCAAUUAGUGUCAUCAUUACUACUGCUGAAGGUCAUGGAAGUAGUUAAUGUUGGGAAAUGAUUAAAAGCAGUAAAGGCCCUGCCUGGUAAC
Molecule: long non-coding RNA, 398 nt
Organism: Erinaceus europaeus (western European hedgehog)
Lineage: Eukaryota; Metazoa; Chordata; Mammalia; Eulipotyphla; Erinaceidae
Exons: 3
Source: RefSeq, a predicted model, not a curated record